GGGGCCGGGGAUGCUUACACAUGCAGUCGAUUCAAGUUACCUUCGGGUAAUGAGGGUGGCGGACGGGUGAGUAACGCGUAAGGAACUUGCCUCUUGGACUGGGACAACUGUUGGAAACGACAGCUAAUACCGGAUAUUAUGAGAUUCUCGCAUGAGAAACUUAUGAAAGCUAUAUGCGCCAAGAGAGAGCCUUGCGUUCCAUUAGCUAGUUGGUGGGGUAACGGCCCACCAAGGCGACGAUGGAUAGCCGGCCUGAGAGGGUGAACGGCCACAAGGGGACUGAGACACGGCCCUUACUCCUACGGGAGGCAGCAGUGGGGAAUAUUGGACAAUGGGCCACAAGCCUGAUCCAGCAAUUCUGUGUGCACGAUGAAGGUCUUCGGAUUGUAAAGUGCUUUCAGUUGGGAAGAAGAAAGUGACGGUACCAACAGAAGAAGCGACGGCUAAAUACGUGCCAGCAGCCGCGGUAAUACGUAUGUCGCAAGCGUUAUCCGGAUUUAUUGGGCGUAAAGCGCGUCUAGGCGGAAAAAUAAGUCUGAUGUUAAAAUGCGGGGCUCAACUCCGUAUUGCGUUGGAAACUGUUUUUCUAGAGUACUGGAGAGGUGGGCGGAACUACAAGUGUAGAGGUGAAAUUCGUAGAUAUUUGUAGGAAUGCCGAUGGAGAAGUCAGCUCACUGGACGGAUACUGACGCUGAAGCGCGAAAGCGUGGGGAGCGAACAGGAUUAGAUACCCUGGUAGUCCACGCCGUAAACGAUGAUCACUAGGUGUUGGGGGUCGAACCUCAGCGCCCAAGCUAACGCGAUAAGUGAUCCGCCUGGGGAGUACGCACGCAAGUGUGAAACUCAAAGGAAUUGACGGGGACCCGCACAAGCGGUGGAGCAUGUGGUUUAAUUCGACGCAACGCGAGAAACCUUACCAGCGUUUGACAUCCUAAGAAGUUUCCAGAGAUGGAUUCGUGCCGGCUUGCCGGAACUUAAUGACAGGUGGUGCAUGGCUGUCGUCAGCUCGUGUCCUGAAAUGUUGGGGUUAAAUCCCGCAACGAACGCAACCCCUACUGGGAUGUUGGUUCCCUUUAAG
RNAcentral lists this ribosomal RNA (1078 nucleotides) under uncultured bacterium. RNAcentral describes it as "bacterial SSU rRNA". It matches the Rfam family "Bacterial small subunit ribosomal RNA", at positions 35 to 1130 of the family's 1533-position model. The record is from RNAcentral.